Molecule: transfer RNA, 71 nt
Filed under: Ornithorhynchus anatinus (platypus)
Lineage: Eukaryota; Metazoa; Chordata; Mammalia; Monotremata; Ornithorhynchidae
Rfam family: tRNA
About the family: Transfer RNA (tRNA) molecules are approximately 80 nucleotides in length. Their secondary structure includes four short double-helical elements and three loops (D, anti-codon, and T loops). Further hydrogen bonds mediate the characteristic L-shaped molecular structure. tRNAs have two regions of fundamental functional importance: the anti-codon, which is responsible for specific mRNA codon recognition, and the 3' end, to which the tRNAs corresponding amino acid is attached (by aminoacyl-tRNA synthetases). tRNAs cope with the degeneracy of the genetic code in two manners: having more than one tRNA (with a specific anti-codon) for a particular amino acid; and 'wobble' base-pairing, i.e. permitting non-standard base-pairing at the 3rd anti-codon position.
Source: Rfam by way of RNAcentral
AAUAACGUGGCUUAGUGGAAGAGCCUGGACUUCGGAGUCAGAGGUCAUGGGUUCGACUCCCGACGCUGUCA